This 774-nucleotide ribosomal RNA is filed under the name uncultured Neocallimastigales. Its description in RNAcentral is "partial large subunit ribosomal RNA". It matches the Rfam family "Eukaryotic large subunit ribosomal RNA", at positions 24 to 649 of the family's 3401-position model. The record is from RNAcentral. Lineage: Eukaryota; Fungi; Neocallimastigomycota; Neocallimastigomycetes; Neocallimastigales.
UAUGUGAUCGUCUCUCGCAUAUCAAUAAGCGGAGGAAAAGAAACUAACAAGGAUUCCCCUAGUAACGGCGAGUGAAGCGGGAAGAGCUCAAAUUUGAAAUCUUAAAGGGUUUCCCUUUACGAAUUGUAGUUUAAAGAAGUGUUUUCUGUUGAGGUUUUGGUAAAAGUUCUUUGGAAUAGGACAUCAUAGAGGGUGAGAAUCCCGUAUUUGACCUUUACUUUCAACUUUGUGAUACACUUUCAAAGAGUCGGAUUGUUUGGGAAUGCAGUCCAAAGUGGGUGGUAAAUUUCAUCUAAAGCUAAAUAUUGGCGAGAGACCGAUAGCGAACAAGUACCGUGAGGGAAAGAUGAAAAGAACUUUGAAAAGAGAGUUAAACAGUACGUGAAAUUGUCAAAAGGGAAGCGUUUGACACCAGUGUUGUUUUUCUGAAAAUCAAUUAAAGAACUGUUUAUGCUAAGCUGUUUAGACUUUAUCAGCUAACUGUUUAGUUUUGAGCUUUUCUUUAAUGCACUUUUCAGUUAACAAGUCAACAUCAAUUUCUUUUGCUGUAAAAAAGCUUGAGGAAGGUGGCUUGAGAUUCGUCUUAAGUGUUUAUAGCCUCUUGCCUAUGCAGUCGGAGAGAUUGAGGUCUGCAGCGUAGAUCCUUCGGGGCUAAAUGCAUUUGUGCUAAGUUAUAGCAUUUUAUAGACAACUUGUUGACUAUGAUUUGUCUUGUAGCUUACUCGCUUAUGUUAUUUUACCUACGCUUAGGAUGUUGAGUAGCGACAUACGCAC